UGUAGAAGGGUCCAAGCCAUGGGUGGAGGCUGGAAAUUGAUGUCAGGUUUUGAAUCUACUAAAGGUUUAUGUUGUGGCUUUUGGGAGAUGUCCCCACUUCCUGUGAUAAGAGGAGUAUUAACCUAAUGAAGCAAGCACACCUUUCCACUACUAGAGACCCCACUAUGGGGACUCUGCCUUGUGCUGUUCCUGCAGCCACGGGGAGCAACCUGGGCCCCACAGACCUCAGCGGUUUACUUCCAAGACUUAGUUAACAUAAAUUACAGUCCCUUUAUCAAGAGUAGUUUAGGAAGGUGAUGUGUAAUCCCUGAGCCUUCCAGCUAGACUAAACGUGCCAUAACUUGUUUUUCAUUUCCCUUGUUUGGAGUUUAUGGUUUUCUUUGCAUGGAAGGUGUACAGUGAUGUGUGCAAUGAAGACAAGCGGAAGUGGAGGAAUGCUAGGCUGCUGCCGUUACUCUUCUAUUUAGGAUAAUGAAGAAAGGACAUCAAAAGCACAGCUUGAAUCAGUGACUGGAGAAGGUCGAAAAGGAAAUCCUGUGUGUAUCUGGACAACAGUUUAAGAAUUCCAGCACUCAGGAGGCAUGAGCAGGCAGGCCUCUGUGAGAUUGAGGCCACCCUGGUCUACAGAGCAUGUUCAAUCAGAAAUCCAGAAAAAUAAUUCAUUUAAACAAAACCUUAGAUGGUGAUAAAGACUUGAAUAGUCCCAUAGAAUUAACAGCAUAAACAGAAAAGGAAUUGACAAUUGCUGAGGAGAAAUUACAGGAGGCACAUGUGGAUAGCGUGAAUCCAAAUCUUAAUUGUAUUCUAGUCAUAUUGCCUUCUGGAAUUUCCCCUACAGAAAUUUUAAUGCAGAGGGAUGAUAUCAUCUUAGAAUGGAUCUUUUUACCACAUAAACCAAGUAAAAAAUUAAAAAUUUAUGUAGAAAAAGUCUUUGAAUUAAUUAUAAAAGGUAAAGUGAGACUUAGCAGGUAUAGACCAGCAAUAGCACAGUGCCUUUCACUCUGAUGAACUAAAAAGGUUAUGGAAGACAAUGAAUCGUGGCAAAGAGCUUGUGCUAAUUUUUGGGAGAAAUUAAUAGCAAUUAUCCCAAAAGCGAUAGACUUAACCUUAUAAAGAGAACUUCUUUGAUUCUUCCCUGAAUUGUACAUGAUGCUCCAAUAACUAGAGCCCACACCUUUUAUACUGAUACCAACAAAUCAGAGAAGGCAGGAUACAAAUCAGAAGAAUUAAGUAAGGUGGAACAAAGCCCUUAUACUUCUGUCCAGAAGGCAGAAUUAUAUGCUAUUCUCGUGGUGCUAAGGGACUUUAAAGAACCUCUUAAUAUAGUUACUGAUCCACAAUAUGCAGAAAGAGUUUUCUUACAUAUUGAAACCACUGAAUUUAUACCAUAUGAUACAGAAUUGACUUCAUUAUUUAUCCAGGUGCAAGACAUAAUCAGGACUAGGCUUUGUCCUGUAUACUUAACAUGCAUCCAAUCCCAUACAGGUCUGCUAGUGUAGGAGGGUCUUCUGUUUCUGUGUUGUAUUCAUUGGUUGAAUAAAGAGAGUGCCUUGGCCUUUUGAGAGGACAGCCCUUAGGUGGGCAGAGUAGACAGAACAGAAUGCUGGGAAGAAGGCAAUGUGGCAGACGACAUGCUUCUCCUGCCCAAGAUGGAUGCUGGUUAGGCUCAUGCUGGUAAGUCACAGUCAAGUAGCGAUACACAUUAAUGGAGAUGGGUUAAAUUAGCCAAUAAGGGGUUGGAGAUAAUGGGCCAGACAGUGUUUUGAUCAAUACAAUUUCCAUGUGGUUAUUUUGGGGCUAAGCUAGCCGGGCGGGACGGAUGCAUUCCCCCUUCUACAACAGUCUGCCAGGUUCUCUAGCACAACGUAAUGCAGAAAUUGAUCAAUUAUUGAUUGGAAGCAUGUUGCAGGCCUCUGAAUUUCUUUAAAAAUAUCAUGUCAAUAGCAAAGGUUUAAGGAAAGAGUUUUUUUUUUUCAUGGCAACAAGGAUAUUAUAAAGAGAUGCCCUACUUGCUCUUUCUAUAACCAAACACUACUACUUGCAGGGACUUAGCCAAAGGGCACUCAAAGGAAUGAAAUCUGGCAGGUGAAUGUGUUCCACUUUGCAAAAUUUGGAAAAUUAAAAUAUGUACACCACACCAUUGACAUUCAGGUUCUUGUUGGGCAACUGCUUUAAGCUCAGAAAAGGCUAAUUCAGUGAUCAUGCAUUUAUUAGAAGUUGUGGCCAUCAUGGGUAUACCUCCACAAAAGAAGACAGAUAAUGGUCCAGCAUAUGUCUCUAGGAAUAUGAAACAGUUUCUUGCUUAUUAUAAUAUUAAGCAUGUUACAGGUAUACCACACAAUCCUACAGGUCAGGCAGUUAUAGAAAGAUCAAAUCAAACAAUAAAGGAUAUGUUAAAUAAAUAAAAAGGGGUAAAAAUGCUCCCAGAAAUAGAUUAUAUUAUGCUUUAUUAACCUUGAAUUUUCUUAACGCUAAUGAGAAAGGGUCAACAUCAGCAGAAAGACAUUGGAUAAUAGAAAAGUCUUCUGAAUUAAAUCAACCAUUUUUAUUUCAAGGAUGUCUUGACCUCACAAUGGAAGCCAGAAGAUGUGUUAUGUUGGGAAAGGGGUUUUUCCACAGGAGAAGAAAAACUAUGGAUACCAUCAAAAUUAAUAAAGAUACAGUUUGUAAGGGAGAAACCUCUUGAGAAAGAGAAUUGACAGCUCAUCCACAAUGGUGACAACCAUACAGAGGGUAAGGAAACUUCAUAAGGGUUGGGGCAGGGUUCUGUUCUUAUCUUUGCAGGAAAAUACUCAUCUUCAAAAAAAUUCAAGAGACCCUGGAUGUUUGGGUGCCAACAGAAGGAAAAUUAACUAUCCACUAAGGAUCAUCAAGAAAAAGGAAUCUGAUUUAUGAGAUCAGUGAGACACGAUUGGUCCUGGCAGCACCCGAUCUAUUCUUGAGAGAAUGUUGAGCACCGAAGAUACUCCACUUAGAGCUUGUUUUCUUCUUGGAAAAACUGGCCUUUGGAAAAAGAAAUGCCCAUGCAUCAACCACUGACAAGAUACAUGAUGUCCAGAAAUGGAUAAGCAGGACUGUCAAAUCUUGCCAUUACAGGUUGCUGGAUUCAGUUUCUGUUGUUCAUUAAAGCAGAAGAUUCUGAUUUGUGAGUUUACACCUAAAUAAAUAACCAUUUAUUUCUC
This is a long non-coding RNA of Chionomys nivalis (European snow vole), 3182 nucleotides long. RefSeq lists it as uncharacterized. The record is from RefSeq and is a predicted model, not a curated record. Lineage: Eukaryota; Metazoa; Chordata; Mammalia; Rodentia; Cricetidae. The transcript is spliced from 3 exons.